AUUUUCGAGAAGAGCAAAAAAAGGGGUUUGAUGUCUCACGGGAACGAUAUAAUUCACCGCUGAGACAAAACUGUUCGCACUGCAUAUGCGAUAUCGCUAGAGCCGUAGAAGAUUUGGGAAAUAUAACGCUGGGUAAAAAAAGUGGCUUACUCUCACGAAUUAAAGUUUACAAUUGUACGAAGUACGAUGACAUAGGAAAAGAAAUUAUUCUAACUGAUUCUGAAGAGCACAGUUCUCUAUUUCGGAACAGACGCGAUUCGAACGAAGAAAAGAAGGAAAUAAAAUACCUCAAGCCCGAAGAUAUCGAAGGAAUACUCGCAGGAAAUUUAACUACCAAAAAUAACGACCAUGAAACGUUCUCUUUGCCAGGAGUCGAAUUGAAUAUUCCUUGUAAUGGGAUGGACGACGUUUUCAUUAUGGGAUUGAACAGGAUAAAUUAUAGCUGGAAGCAUCCAGAUGGUAGCCGACUGUCUGG
Molecule: unclassified non-coding RNA, 475 nt
Filed under: Athalia rosae (coleseed sawfly)
Lineage: Eukaryota; Metazoa; Arthropoda; Insecta; Hymenoptera; Athaliidae
Description: misc RNA ENSAEAG00005009316.1
Source: RNAcentral